This 254-nucleotide ribosomal RNA is filed under the name uncultured bacterium. Its description in RNAcentral is "partial 16S ribosomal RNA". It matches the Rfam family "Bacterial small subunit ribosomal RNA", at positions 524 to 776 of the family's 1533-position model. The record is from RNAcentral.
UACGUAGGGGGCAAGCGUUGUCCGGAUUUAUUGGGCGUAAAGAGCUCGUAGGUGGUUCGGUAAGUCGGAUGUGAAAUCUCCAGGCUCAACCUGGAGGGGUCAUUCGAUACUGCCGUGACUAGAGGUCGGUAGGGGAGUGUGGAAUUCCUGGUGGAGCGGUGAAAUGCGCAGAUAUCAGGAGGAACACCCAUAGCGAAGGCGGCACUCUGGGCCGAUACUGACACUGAGGAGCGAAAGCGUGGGGAGCGAACAGG